Molecule: ribosomal RNA, 516 nt
Filed under: uncultured bacterium
Lineage: Bacteria
Description: bacterial SSU rRNA
Rfam family: Bacterial small subunit ribosomal RNA
Source: RNAcentral
GAGUUUGAUCCUGGCUCAGGACGAACGCUGGCGGUAUGCUUAACACAUGCAAGUCGAACGAGAAAGUUUUGAAUGAUCCUUCGGGUGAAAUUAGAACUGGAAAGUGGCGAACGGGUGAGUAACGCGUGGGUAACCUGCCCUUCAGAGGGGGAUAGUGUCUGGAAACGGACAGUAAUACCGCAUAACGUACAUUGAUGGCAUCUUCGAUGUACCAAAGCUUUUGCGCUGAAGGAUGGGCUCGCGUUGGAUUAGAUAGUUGGUGGGGUAACGGCCUACCAAGUCGACGAUCCAUAGCCGGACUGAGAGGUUGAUCGGCCACAUUGGGACUGAGACACGGCCCAGACUCCUACGGGAGGCAGCAGUGGGGAAUAUUGCACAAUGGGGGAAACCCUGAUGCAGCAACGCCGCGUGAAGGAAGACGGUUUUCGGAUUGUAAACUUCUGUUCUUAGUGAAGAUAGUGACGGUAGCUAAGGAGCAAGCCACGGCUAACUACGUGCCAGCAGCCGCGGUAAUUC